RNAcentral lists this ribosomal RNA (509 nucleotides) under uncultured bacterium. Its description in RNAcentral is "partial 16S ribosomal RNA". It matches the Rfam family "Bacterial small subunit ribosomal RNA", at positions 27 to 507 of the family's 1533-position model. The record is from RNAcentral.
GGACGAACGCUGGCGGCGUGCCUAAUACAUGCAAGUCGAACGCUUCUUUCCUCCCGAGUGCUUGCACUCAAUUGGAAAGAGGAGUGGCGGACGGGUGAGUAACACGUGGGUAACCUACCCAUCAGAGGGGGAUAACACUUGGAAACAGGUGCUAAUACCGCAUAACAGUUUAUGCCGCAUGGCAUAAGAGUGAAAGGCGCUUUCGGGUGUCGCUGAUGGAUGGACCCGCGGUGCAUUAGCUAGUUGGUGAGGUAACGGCUCACCAAGGCCACGAUGCAUAGCCGACCUGAGAGGGUGAUCGGCCACACUGGGACUGAGACACGGCCCAGACUCCUACGGGAGGCAGCAGUAGGGAAUCUUCGGCAAUGGACGAAAGUCUGACCGAGCAACGCCGCGUGAGUGAAGAAGGUUUUCGGAUCGUAAAACUCUGUUGUUAGAGAAGAACAAGGACGUUAGUAACUGAACGUCCCCUGACGGUAUCUAACCAGAAAGACACGGCUAACUACGUG